RNAcentral lists this unclassified non-coding RNA (358 nucleotides) under soil metagenome. RNAcentral's name for it is "partial contains 5.8S ribosomal RNA, internal transcribed spacer 2, and large subunit ribosomal RNA". The stretch from base 1 to 120 matches the Rfam family "5.8S ribosomal RNA", at positions 35 to 154 of the family's 154-position model. The record is from RNAcentral.
GAUGAAGAACGCAGCGAAAUGCGAUAAGUAAUGUGAAUUGCAGAAUUCAGUGAAUCAUCGAAUCUUUGAACGCACAUUGCGCCCGCCAGUAUUCUGGCGGGCAUGCCUGUCCGAGCGUCAUUUCAACCCUCGAACCCCUCCGGGGGGUCGGCGUUGGGGACCUCGGGAGCCCCUAAGACGGGAUCCCGGCCCCGAAAUACAGUGGCGGUCUCGCCGCAGCCUCUCCUGCGCAGUAGUUUGCACAACUCGCACCGGGAGCGCGGGGCGUCCACGUCCGUAAAACACCCAACUUCUGAAAUGUUGACCUCGGAUCAGGUAGGAAUACCCGCUGAACUUAAGCAUAUCAAUAAGCGGAGGA